UCCACUGGAGAUUAGAGACUCAGAGUUUGACAGCAGUUGCCAAAGGAGGUGCUGGUUUUUCAGCCUGUCCAUGAGGCCAUCUGGUCACCAGGAUAACAGAGAUCACACCCAGAGACCAAUCCAUGGGGUUUUGCUCCUUGUCCAUUCCACCUCCUAAGCAGCCAGGAGCCCAGACUGAUCCCCCUUUCCUGAAAACAUCACAAAAAGCAGCAGAUUUAUACUUCUGUAAAUGAGUGCAGACCUGAAGAUACAAAAGCACCAGAUUGUGGUAGAACAGCAAAGAACCUGUUGCUCUAAUAUUUGGAUAAUAUUUCACUCAUAUAUCUGCUUUUUCUAAUUUGAAUUACAGCAGUGCAACUCUCAGUGGUCUGUAUACAGCAAUUGCCUACAAAUAUUUUAAGGCCUUUCCCUGAGACAUCACUAAUGAAAUUCCACAUAAGACUGAAAUGUGUUUGUGGUUUAAACAUCUGAAUCAUGAAUUGAGUUGGGAUUUCAGUGAAGACUCCCUGGAAACAGGAAGACAAUGAGCUGAGACUCCAGUCCAGGUCUGAGUCAGAGGCAGGUUCAGAGACAUUCACCAAUAUUUUCCAAAGCACAGAUACCUAUGGCCUGCAUGAGAAACUGUGAGAGUGGUUAAAGGAACAGAUGUGUUCACUUUUUCAGCCUCAGCCCUCUGUGUUUCUGCAGGACAGGUACUGAAAAGAAGAAACAGAGACAAAAUUGAAGGAUGUUUCAAUAUAAAAUCAUCCCCCUGAGACUGAUCUUAGCAAGAGAGGGCAUCACCUGCAGCAGCUGAGUCCUGGUGAGGUAAUCAGCUCCCCUCCAGACUGUCAGGUCUGCCUGCAAGAAGAGAAGAAAGGGUGCUCUGCUGCUGUUCCUGUCAGGACUGCGAUCCAAGAGUCGCACGGAGGAGUUUUCUGUUUCAGAGGUGAACUCCCAUCACAGCAGCCUCUUGCUGGCCACAGAUGAAAACUGAAUUUGAGUGGGUUCAGGCAGUUCUGUGUGCAUCAUUUAUGUUGGUCAAAGUGGGAAAUAGGCACCAAAAGUCACACAAAUUUCUGGUGAUUCUGGAGACUUCUUUUCAAGAGCAGCUCUUGAAUGCUCUCUUUCAAAACACAGGAUUUUCAACAUAUGUAAUAUUUCUUUGGCCUAUAUUAUCAACUAUUCCAAUGAUAAAAACCAAGUUAUUUUAUAAAUAUAAUUUAUAUAUAUAUAAAUACAGAAUUAUUUUAUCUUAGCAGCAGGUUGAAUUCCCAUGGGAAGAUGCCAGCACAUACCCUGAGGAUGAGGAUAUCAGCAGUUAUGAGGUGAGGGACUUGGCAGAAGGUCUGAAAGGGACCAGUGACACAGGGGAAUUUCCAGUGGCUCAUUCUGUCCUCCUUCCCACAUAAAACCUGCACACCCAACAAUUCACACACCUUAAAAUAUUUUUACCUGAAAACAAGUCUUCUUUCACCAUCAGAUCAUGAAGAAUAUUAUUUAGUGAUUGAAUAUGGACAAUAAAUGUGAACAGAAUAAAGAAAUCUCAGUAUUCUUUCUGAAUAUUUUAAAAUACUUUUAAAAAUGCACUUUUUAUAAACUUAUAAGUAACUAAUUUAUCCAUGGCUCUGAGAACAU
Long non-coding RNA from Passer domesticus (house sparrow), 1617 nucleotides. RefSeq lists it as uncharacterized. Lineage: Eukaryota; Metazoa; Chordata; Aves; Passeriformes; Passeridae. The record is from RefSeq and is a predicted model, not a curated record. The transcript has 3 exons.